RNAcentral lists this ribosomal RNA (271 nucleotides) under uncultured bacterium. RNAcentral's name for it is "partial 16S ribosomal RNA". It matches the Rfam family "Bacterial small subunit ribosomal RNA", at positions 524 to 794 of the family's 1533-position model. The record is from RNAcentral.
UACAGAGGGUGCAAGCGUUAAUCGGAAUUACUGGGCGUAAAGCGUGCGUAGGUGGUUCUUUAAGUCAGGUGUGAAAUCCCCGGGCUCAACCUGGGAACUGCAUUUGAUACUGAAGAGCUAGAGUGUGGUAGAGGAUAGUGGAAUUCCCGGUGUAGCGGUGAAAUGCGUAGAUAUCGGGAGGAACAUCAGUGGCGAAGGCGGCUAUCUGGACUAACACUGACACUGAGGUACGAAAGCGUGGGUAGCAAACAGGAUUAGAAACCCGGGUAGU